Molecule: transfer RNA, 87 nt
Filed under: candidate division Zixibacteria bacterium CG_4_9_14_3_um_filter_46_8
Lineage: Bacteria; Pseudomonadati; Candidatus Zixiibacteriota
Description: tRNA-Ser
Rfam family: tRNA
About the family: Transfer RNA (tRNA) molecules are approximately 80 nucleotides in length. Their secondary structure includes four short double-helical elements and three loops (D, anti-codon, and T loops). Further hydrogen bonds mediate the characteristic L-shaped molecular structure. tRNAs have two regions of fundamental functional importance: the anti-codon, which is responsible for specific mRNA codon recognition, and the 3' end, to which the tRNAs corresponding amino acid is attached (by aminoacyl-tRNA synthetases). tRNAs cope with the degeneracy of the genetic code in two manners: having more than one tRNA (with a specific anti-codon) for a particular amino acid; and 'wobble' base-pairing, i.e. permitting non-standard base-pairing at the 3rd anti-codon position.
Source: RNAcentral
GGAGGGGUGGCCGAGCGGCUGAAGGCAGCUGCCUGCUAAGCAGUUGUAGUGUAAAAGCUACCUAGGGUUCGAAUCCCUACCCCUCCG